UGCAGUUCAGUCAAACUGGGCUAUUUGCCACUCUCCUCCACCAUUUUCCUGCUUUUGUUUCUUUGCUUGUGAUGUCAUCAUUGACUGGAAUGCUCAUAUUUUCUCUGCUGAAUUCCCAACAUUUAAAGCCCAAGUCAGAUACCACCAACUCCAGGAAACCUCUGGUCCAAGGAGUAGUGAAUCAGAAGAUGGAGAUGGAUGUUAAGGGAGUUUCUCAGUGCCCGGAGCCCAUCCCCCACUCUCAGGGGGCUGGCGGAGGCUGUCAGCAGCCACCGCCGCCGCCACCGCCGCCGCCGCCGCCACCGCCGCCGCCGCAGGAUGAGCAGCCUGGGGAAAGUGCGGCCGCCGGGGACAGCCACCCAGAGAAGAGACCAAACAGUGAGAAAGAAGACAAAAAGUACUUCAGUGACAGAACCCAACACGUGUGUGUUUGGCGAGGCUGGUGGAGGUUAACAAGGAGCUGA
This 464-nucleotide long non-coding RNA is filed under the name Monodelphis domestica (gray short-tailed opossum). RNAcentral's name for it is "lncRNA (ENSMODG00000045004.1)". Lineage: Eukaryota; Metazoa; Chordata; Mammalia; Didelphimorphia; Didelphidae. The record is from RNAcentral.